UGAAAGUCUUGUGUGUCCUGGAUCUCCUACUCAGGACUUUUGUCCUUCUAGGUCUGUGCUUUUAAUAGGACUGUCUCCAAAGUUGAUGAUUUCUUGGCCAAUGAGGCAAAGGGAACCAAAGUGGUGGGUGCCCAGUCCCUGAAAGAGAUGGUCUCCAAGCUGAAGAAGCCCCGGCGGAUCAUCCUCCUGGUGAAGGCUGGGCAAGCUGUGGAUGAUUUCAUCGAGAAAUUGGUACCAUUGUUGGAUAC
RNAcentral lists this long non-coding RNA (248 nucleotides) under Pan troglodytes (chimpanzee). Its description in RNAcentral is "long non-coding RNA NONPTRT000091". The record is from RNAcentral. Lineage: Eukaryota; Metazoa; Chordata; Mammalia; Primates; Hominidae.